GAUGAACGCUGGCGGCGUGCCUAAUACAUGCAAGUCGAGCGAACAGAUGAGGAGCUUGCUCCUCUGACGUUAGCGGCGGACGGGUGAGUAACACGUGGAUAACCUACCUAUAAGACUGGGAUAACUUCGGGAAACCGGAGCUAAUACCGGAUAAUAUAUUGAACCGCAUGGUUCAAUAGUGAAAGACGGUUUUGCUGUCACUUAUAGAUGGAUCCGCGCCGCAUUAGCUAGUUGGUAAGGUAACGGCUUACCAAGGCAACGAUGCGUAGCCGACCUGAGAGGGUGAUCGGCCACACUGGAACUGAGACACGGUCCAGACUCCUACGGGAGGCAGCAGUAGGGAAUCUUCCGCAAUGGGCGAAAGCCUGACGGAGCAACGCCGCGUAAGUGAUGAAGGUCUUCGGAUCGUAAAACCCUGUUAUUAGGGAAGAACAAAUGUGUAAGUAACUAUGCACGUCUUGACGGUACCUAAUCAGAAAGCCACGGCUAACUACGUG
RNAcentral lists this ribosomal RNA (497 nucleotides) under uncultured bacterium. RNAcentral describes it as "partial 16S ribosomal RNA". It matches the Rfam family "Bacterial small subunit ribosomal RNA", at positions 28 to 507 of the family's 1533-position model. The record is from RNAcentral.